RNAcentral lists this long non-coding RNA (2898 nucleotides) under Nicotiana tabacum (common tobacco). RNAcentral's name for it is "long non-coding RNA (NTAB_LNC012463)". Lineage: Eukaryota; Viridiplantae; Streptophyta; Magnoliopsida; Solanales; Solanaceae. The record is from RNAcentral.
UAGCGGAUCCGGUUUUAACGUUCCCGACCCGAAUAUAUGCGGACAAAAGUUCUCAACUUUUUGGGAUCUUAAUUUCUCCAUGAAUAUUUUGUAGACAUAUGGAGAGAUGAAAAGGUCUGAAAUUUGAGAAAAUUAGAAAGAAAUGCGUUUAAAUAUUUUUAUUUUUCUUCAAAAUUUUGUAAGAUAUGAAUAUAUAAAAUUGGGAAAACUAUAGGGUUUGGUUAAAUUGAAAUACGGGAAUGGAAUGUUGUAAUAUCAUAAUAUGGGAAUUGGAUUAUUAUGGGAAAGUGGUUGGAGGGAAGGCUGGGAAAGGAGGUUUAAAAUCAAUAUGAGAGUAAUGUGGAAUGUUUUGCUGCUCUGUUAAUGGUGUUAGUGAUGACUAAUGACGAGGAUGAUGAAAGAGGAGCUUUUUCAGUUCCUUCUUGUAAGAUAAUUCUAUGAUAAAUACUCAGUAAUCAAGAGCUAUAAAUUUAGGUAAUGUAUAUGUGUGUUCAGCUUAAAGUUUUCUCUAUGUUUCUCCUCUUUACUUGUUGCAUAUUAGAUUCUUUCUUGACCAUGAUUCACACAGCCAUGGAACCUCUUCAUUAAAGCCAAAGUAACAUGAAACUUUAGGCACAUGAAUCUACGGGACCAGCAAAUUUUAGGCCAUCUUCUGAUAGUCUUUUUCUAAAGCCAGAUUAUAAUAGAUGUUAUUUGGUUUCGGCAAAUAAUACUCCAGAUUAGGGGUGGACAUAAAAUCCGAAAAACCGAAUUUCGAACUGAACCGAAUUAAUUUGGUAUUUCGGUUUCGAUAUUUCAGUUUAUUUCGGUACAGAAAUUUCGAUAUUUCGGUAAUUCGAUACGGUAUACGGUAUUGGAUUAUUGAUAUUUCGAUAUUUCGGUAUACCGAAAUACAACAAUAGUUUAAUGAGGUGAGAUCAAUAUUUCGGUGUCCCGAAACGAAAGCAAAUCUCACUACUGUCAACUUGCUUCUAAAAUUUCUCGGACUUCGCAGAAAAGUCGGAGUCUUGGGAUUUAACUCUAUAUUGAAAGGUAGCUAUACGCAUCAUCCCAGAUCAAAGGCAAGACUUUCCUCUGGCUAAGCAAAUUACUCCCAUAUAUUGGUGCCACUAUUAAUAGUAUCUCACAAAACCAUGGCGCCAUUCUAAAUUGGCUACCAGCAUUGGCCUUAAUGUAAAAAGUCGAUGUAACUUUUGGAAUACUCUAGAUCUUAUAGGCUCAAGCACAUAAAUGUAGAUAUCAAACGAAUGACAAAAGAUUCCGUGAACAACUUUAGAGGAUCAAGAAAAAGAAAGCACAAUAUUAGAGUAAUUGAAGGUAAAAUAAUGUUGGCGCCAGAUUUUGCUAGUUAAUGGAGGGGGAGACAGUGAAGAUUUGGUUUAAACCGAAACCGUACCGAAAUAGUAGCGAACCAAAAUAAGAAAUACCGAACCGUACCGAAAUAUUACGGUACGGUAUUUGGUAUAUACAAUUGAUAAACCGAAUACCGAAAUACCGAACCAAAAUUCUUAAAUACCGAACCGAAAUACCGAAUGCCCACCCCUACUCCAGAUAAGUUUGGCCAAGAUUAAACCUCUCGUCCACUCUCUACUCAAGAAGCCUCAUUUACCCGUAUUAUUCCUCCUCCUCCUCCGCCAAUUAGAAAUAGCUGAAACCAUCUCUCUUGCACUUUCAUCUAAAGGUGUCAAACGGGCCUUGCUGGCCCGGUUCCGGAAUGGCCCGAACCGAUUUUAGACCGGAUCGGUAGUAAGGGGCCCGGACAAGGCUGGGUUGGGAUGGGAACCGGCCUGUGUCGUGUAAAAGUUUGAUGCCGGCAAAUCGAACUGGUACGACCCGGUAAGGUCAUGCCAUUUGGAAACCGGUUAACCGGACCGAUUCAACGGUAGUUCGAUGUUUAUUUAUUUAUAAAGUUGAUCGUUGGCAACGGUCAGCUGCCAUUUUGACCGUUGCCCAAUGGCUAAUUUGCAAAAAUAGCCCUUUUUGGCAUUUGUUUUUCAAAAAUAAUACUUGUAUUAUUUAUUUAAUGCCCCGGAAAAUUUCGCUAAGUAAUUUAGGAUUUCGUGGUACCAGGUAGGCUAAUUAUAAUAUUUUACGUGCUAUUAACAUGAUGGACAUCAAUUGAAUUUGGUAAAUAAGUGUAUAAGUCAUAUAAUUAGUAAUUUGGGGUCCAAGGAAAGGCCUAAGUCUAAGUCAAAUUGGAAAAUUACAAAAUAGGCUAAAAAUUCCAAAUGAGUUCGCACAAGUACAAACUUUGGACGAGCAUACAUAAAUAUAUAUAAGGUGUUAUGUGAUGAACAACCUAUCAAAUGAAAGAUUUUCGAGUCUAGUUAAUAACGCUUCAAACCGCUCGUCAUUUGGACAUUCCUACACAAAGUUAUGAUCAAAUUACCAAAGGCUGGAUUUGCAAUCAAUUUCGUGAUCGCAAAAAGACAUAAAUAUACAUAAUCGCAUAAUGAUUAUGCUGCAAGUCUGCUGCCCACAUAUCGAUUAUGCUAUAGUAUAAUUGCACCACAUAAUUGACUUCGGGGGUCAUUUUUAGAAAUUUUCAUAUCCGAACCCACUUUGAUAAAUAAGCUUUGGGGCUUCAUUUGAGGCUAUUUUAUACUAAAUCUAGAGAGAGGUGAGAGCAUUUUAGAGAGAGAAGGAUGAAGCCUAACAUUAUAACCAUUUAAUCUUUCAUCAAUCUUCAAGAAUCAAGAAAACCAAUCACAAGAUCUUCAUUUAAGAGGUAAGUUUCUAUACACUAGACUUUAAUUUCGAGUUUUGGGUAUAAGAUGUGUUAUUGAGGUAUGAUUCUUGGGUGUGCUAGUAUUAUUGGAGAAGAAGAAGAACAAAGCACAGAAAUUGGAAAUAAAAUCAUUCUAACCAUACAAACGAAUAACAAAACAAACAAAAAAA